This 497-nucleotide ribosomal RNA is filed under the name uncultured bacterium. Its description in RNAcentral is "partial 16S ribosomal RNA". It matches the Rfam family "Bacterial small subunit ribosomal RNA", at positions 28 to 507 of the family's 1533-position model. The record is from RNAcentral.
GAUGAACGCUGGCGGCGUGCCUAAUACAUGCAAGUCGAGCGAACAGAUGAGGAGCUUGCUCCUCUGACGUUAGCGGCGGACGGGUGAGUAACACGUGGAUAACCUACCUAUAAGACUGGGAUAACUUCGGGAAACCGGAGCUAAUACCGGAUAAUAUAUUGAACCGCAUGGUUCAAUAGUUAAAGACGGUUUUGCUGUCACUUAUAGAUGGAUCCGCGCCGCAUUAGCUAGUUGGUAAGGUAACGGCUUACCAAGGCAACGAUGCGUAGCCGACCCGAGAGGGUGAUCGGCCACACUGGAACUGAGACACGGUCCAGACUCCUACGGGAGGCAGCAGUAGGGAAUCUUCCGCAAUGGGCGAAAGCUUGACGGAGCAACGCCGCGUGAGUGAUGAAGGUCUUCGGAUCGUAAAACUCUGUUAUUAGGGAAGAACAAAUGUGUAAGUAACUAUGCACGUCUUGACGGUACCUAAUCAGAAAGCCACGGCUAACUACGUG